UCGCAAUUAGGGCACAAUUGUGGCUGU
Molecule: small RNA, 27 nt
Filed under: Bombyx mori (domestic silkworm)
Lineage: Eukaryota; Metazoa; Arthropoda; Insecta; Lepidoptera; Bombycidae
Description: ovarian small RNA-604
Source: RNAcentral